GGAAUAGAGAAGAAUGCAAUGCAUUUUCCCAAGUAGAUGCCAGCCUGGUUUGCCUCAUAUUUUAAAGUGCAUGUGAUUUCUUUUUCUAUUCUACGGUGCCUACUCUAUCAUUCCUUAACUUUCCAUAUAAAUGCUGGGUCAUUAAGACUUUCUUUUCCCUUGGUCUGCUUGCUCAUCUCUCUGCUAAUACUGUGCUGUCCUGAAUAUUUUCGUUUGAAAAUCUUAGAAGUAUGUUAGACAAGCCAUCACUCUUUUUUUACAUGGCUAAAAAUCAUUAGACAUUUGUCAUUUUUACUACGUGUGAAAAAGUAGUUUUUCUUGCCUAAAAACAACCUGAUUUGGGAAUUUAUGUGAUUUCAUAGGAAUAGCAUCUGGAAGUGAUGACAUUAAUGUCAUUUUAAAAAACAUGUGUCGUAUUUCCUCUUAUUCUUUUCUGCCUUGACAUUGUGCAAUAGAAAUUUUUAAAAUUGUUCUAUUAGUAUUGUCAAAUAUCAAUUAUUGGUUUUAUUUACUACUCAAUUAAAUUUAACGAGCCUACUCUGUCUUGGUGUAAUCACAUGGAAUGGGCUCAACUCCCCAGUUAACAAGUGACAGCACGUGUAAAAUAUUGUCUACCAGGGAAACUCAUUGAACACUUAGUGUUCAGACAGUGUUUUGGUGUCUGGUUCCCUAAGCACCACUGCAGUGACACAAAAUAAUAGACCUUCAGCAGAAAAAGUUUUGGCAAAUACAUUGCAUAAGCCAUUUACAUGCAGUGAGUCAUUCUUAUUAGGGUUGGUGGAAUCCCUUUCAAAAUGUAAGUUACUAAUACAAAGAUGGAACACUGCGAGCAGACGUUUUUAAGAAUAAGUAGUCUCAGGAAUGAUAAUAUUAACUCCCUUAUGCACAUCAGGUAGGACUUUAUUAUGACAGAUACUAGAAAUGUACAAAGUGAAGUUAAAAGGUAACUCCUAGCAGCACAUCUUACUCCCUGGAUUCUCUAAUAAGAUGGGUGUUUCUACUUUGCUGUUGCCUUUUUGAAUAGUUAGAUUCUAGCAUUAGUACUGCUGUGUGGGAGGGAGUAUGUGUGAACAGAGUAAGAGUUCUGACAAUCAAGGCACAAAAUAAAUGCUUGGAAAUUUUAGAAUCAUGCAAACAGCUUAUGGAUUGAGUACAGAUUCCCAGUGCUGUCAGUCUCACCCAUCCUUCUAUCCCCAUGUGUGGAAUGUUCUAGGACUCCAUGGCUUUUGAGGAUGUGGCUGUGAACUGUACCCAGGAGGAAUGGGCUUUGCUAGAUUCUUCUCAGAAGAUUCUCUGCAGAGAAGUGAUGCAGGAAACCUGCAGGAACCUGGUUUCUGUAGCUGAGAAUGACAAAACAUUUCACUUAAUUACAGAAGUAUUUCCCUAUCAUCAGUGCUAUUUGUGAUUUGGAAUGUGGCAAGGGAAUGAUUUGGUGAAGAAAUCAGGCAUGGGCACUGUGUACAAUGAACAUUAAAUCUAGUAAUGUUUCUAUAGUUUGUAAUAAUUCAUGAUAAUUUUGUGGGUCUGUAUUUUAGGAAACAAAUGGAAAGACCAGAAUAUUGAAGAUCACUUCGAAAAACCUGGGAAAGAUAUAAGAUAACUUGCACUGAGAAGAGGAAAUAAAGUCCUCUGAAGGAAUCUUAGCUUGUCAUGAACUUAAAAACAAGCAAUCAAAACAAAUGAGAGUCACUUGAAAUUUAUUUCUUUUUAGAAAAAUUUCACCCGAAAUGCAAUGUACUUCAGUGUAGCAGUCAGUGUUUGGAAAACAGUUUACUUGAAAAUAGUACUACAAAAUUGUGUACAUGAAUGUUACUAAUUUGGUCAUAGCCAUGCAAGUGGUAGCUGUGUUUUCAGUAGUAACCCAUUUACUUUCAAAUAAUUCAGUCAUGGCAAAAAAAAAAAAAAAA
Molecule: long non-coding RNA, 1907 nt
Filed under: Macaca fascicularis (crab-eating macaque)
Lineage: Eukaryota; Metazoa; Chordata; Mammalia; Primates; Cercopithecidae
Description: lncRNA (ENSMFAG00000063597.1)
Source: RNAcentral